GGGAUUGGGAUUCAAUAUCGAGUAUGGUUCAGAUCGGAUCCAAUCAAGUUAUUAAGCAUAAGGUCCAAAUUAUUCCAUAGAAUAAAAUGGAUCUGAGCUGGCUUCGAAUUUAAUAAAUUUAGAUAUAACUCAAAAAAUGGAACUGACUCAAUUUUUAGAAUCCAAUCUGGUCUUGUGGAUCCUUUAUCGUAGGUUGAAUCAUAUUUAAGAAGAUUGGAUCUGAUCAUGGGUCGGUGGGUCAAUCCAACCCAUUUGCAGCCACAGGGACAAUAGAAUUAAUCCUUGUUAAAAUGGGUGCUCUGUGAGACAAU
RNAcentral lists this long non-coding RNA (311 nucleotides) under Elaeis guineensis (African oil palm). Its description in RNAcentral is "long non-coding RNA (EGUI_LNC023951)". The record is from RNAcentral. Lineage: Eukaryota; Viridiplantae; Streptophyta; Magnoliopsida; Arecales; Arecaceae.